UACAGAGGUCUCAACCGUUGUUCGGAUUCAUUGGGCGUAAAGGGCGCGUAGGCGGCGCGGUAAGUCACUUGUGAAAUCUCUGAGCUUAACUCAGAACGGCCAAGUGAUACUGCAGUGCUAGAGUGUGGAAGGGGCAAUCGGAAUUCCUGGUGUAGCGGUGAAAUGCGUAGAUAUCAGGAGGAAUACCGGUGGCGAAAGCGACUCUCUGGACGGCAACUGACGCUGAGGCACGAAAGCGUGGGGAGCAAACAGG
RNAcentral lists this ribosomal RNA (253 nucleotides) under uncultured bacterium. Its description in RNAcentral is "partial 16S ribosomal RNA". It matches the Rfam family "Bacterial small subunit ribosomal RNA", at positions 524 to 776 of the family's 1533-position model. The record is from RNAcentral.